This 274-nucleotide ribosomal RNA is filed under the name uncultured bacterium. RNAcentral's name for it is "partial 16S ribosomal RNA". It matches the Rfam family "Bacterial small subunit ribosomal RNA", at positions 524 to 796 of the family's 1533-position model. The record is from RNAcentral.
UACGUAGGGUCCAAGCGUUAUCCGGAAUCAUUGGGCGUAAAGAGCUCGUAGGCGGUUCAGCAAGUCGGCUGUGAAAGUCCGAGGCUCAACCUCGGAAUUGCAGUCGAUACUGCUGUGACUCGAGUCCGGUAGAGGAGAAUGGAAUUCUCGGUGUAGCGGUGAAAUGCGCAGAUAUCGAGAGGAACACCAGUAGCGAAGGCGGUUCUCUGGGCCGGCACUGACGCUGAGGAGCGAAAGCGUGGGGAGCAAACAGGAUUAGAAACCCCAGUAGUCC